GAUGAACGCUGGCGGCGUGCUUAACACAUGCAAGUCGAACGGAACUACUCCAAUGAGAGUCUUCGGAAGGGAUUUGGUUUAGUUUAGUGGCGGACGGGUGAGUAACGCGUGGGUAACCUGCCCUAUACAGGGGGAUAACAGUUGGAAACGACUGUUAAUACCGCAUAAGCGCACAGGAGCGCAUGCUCCGGUGUGAAAAACUCCGGUGGUAUAGGAUGGACCCGCGUCUGAUUAGCUGGUUGGCGGGGUAACGGCCCACCAAGGCGACGAUCAGUAGCCGGCCUGGGAGGGUGAACGGCCACAGUGGGACUGAGACACGGCCCAAACUCCUACGGGAGGCAGCAGUGGGGAAUAUUGCACAAUGGGGGAAACCCUGAUGCAGCUACGCCGCGUAAGCGAAGAAGUAUCUCGGUAUGUAAAGCUCUAUCAGCAGGGAAGAAAAUGACGGUACCUGACUAAGAAGCCCCGGCUAACUACGUG
RNAcentral lists this ribosomal RNA (480 nucleotides) under uncultured bacterium. Its description in RNAcentral is "partial 16S ribosomal RNA". It matches the Rfam family "Bacterial small subunit ribosomal RNA", at positions 28 to 507 of the family's 1533-position model. The record is from RNAcentral.